RNAcentral lists this ribosomal RNA (490 nucleotides) under uncultured bacterium. Its description in RNAcentral is "partial 16S ribosomal RNA". It matches the Rfam family "Bacterial small subunit ribosomal RNA", at positions 30 to 507 of the family's 1533-position model. The record is from RNAcentral.
AUUGAACGCUGGCGGCAUGCUUUACACAUGCAAGUCGGACGGCAGCACAGAGAAGCUUGCUUCUUGGGUGGCGAGUGGCGAACGGGUGAGUAAUAUAUCGGAACGUACCGAGUAAUGGGGGAUAACUAAUCGAAAGAUUAGCUAAUACCGCAUAUUCUCUGAGGAGGAAAGCAGGGGACCUUCGGGCCUUGCGUUAUUCGAGCGGCCGAUAUCUGAUUAGCUAGUUGGUGGGGUAAAGGCCUACCAAGGCGACGAUCAGUAGCGGGUCUGAGAGGAUGAUCCGCCACACUAGGACUGAGACACGGCCCAGACUCCUACGGGAGGCAGCAGUGGGGAAUUUUGGACAAUGGGCGCAAGCCUGAUCCAGCCAUGCCGCGUGUCUGAAGAAGGCCUUCGGGUUGUAAAGGACUUUUGUCAGGGAAGAAAAGGCUGUUGCUAAUACCGACAGCUGAUGACGGUACCUGAAGAAUAAGCACCGGCUAACUACGUG